RNAcentral lists this ribosomal RNA (351 nucleotides) under uncultured bacterium. RNAcentral's name for it is "bacterial SSU rRNA". It matches the Rfam family "Bacterial small subunit ribosomal RNA", at positions 29 to 363 of the family's 1533-position model. The record is from RNAcentral.
AACGAACGCUGGCGGCGUGCCUAACACAUGCAAGUCGCGCGAGAAAGCGGGGGGCAACUCCGUGAGUAAAGCGGCGCACGGGUGAGUAAUACGUAGGUAACCUACCUCCGAGACCGGGAUAACCCUCCGAAAGGAAGGCUAAUACCGGAUGAGACCACGGAGCCUCGGCUCUGCGGUCAAAGGUGGCCUCUAUUUAUAAGCUACCACUCGAAGAUGGGCCUGCGCACCAUUAGCUAGUGGCGAGGUAACGGCUCACCAAGGCGAAGAUGGUUAGCUGAUCUGAGAGGAUGAUCAGCCACACUGGGACUGAGACACGGCCCAGACUCCUACGGGAGGCAGCAGUGGGGAAUC